AGUUGUACUUCGUGAAUAUUACUGGGAUAAUUAAAAUCACGAUUAUUUCUGGGCUUGUUAAAUGUUGAAGCAUCAAAUAUAUAAUUGCCAGUUGACGUUAUAGAUCAGAGAGAGUUAGAGAUCAACGCCUCCGAAUUCAAGAUGAAGUUUUACGUUUCGAUUAUACCAGUUUAUCUGACGAUCAUCUCUCAUCUCACGAAAUCCCAAUUCGAUCCACAGUUUGUGGAAGAUCGAACAACCAUGGUCCACUUAUUUGAAUGGAAGUGGAACGAUAUUGCCCUGGAAUGUGAACGUUUUCUUGGUCCAAGAGGGUUUGGUGGGGUUCAGGUAUCUCCUCCAAAUGAAAAUGUAAUUUUUGACAUGGGCCAUGUUCAUCGACCCUGGUUCGAGCGAUACCAGCCAACCAGCUACAAAUUAGAAACUCGUUCUGGAACAGAGGAAGAAUUUAAGAAUAUGGUUAAACGAUGUAAUGAUGUUGGGGUCCGGAUUUAUGUGGAUGCAGUAAUAAAUCAUAUGACCAGCUUUUGGCCCAAUGGAACUAAAUCCACUGGGGGCUCAUCAUUCUCUGCAGGAGCUACUCAAUACGACGCUGUGCCCUUCACUGCUGAUGAUUUUAAUAAUGAGAAAACAUGCCCCUCAAAAUCGGGCGAUAUUGAAAACUACGGUGACGAGCAACAAGUUCGCAAUUGUAAACUUCUUGGACUAAAUGACUUGGACCAUUCCAAACCUCAUGUGCAAGAUAUGGUUGCCGGAUUUUUAAAUAAACUCGUCAAAUUUGGCGUUGCUGGAUUUCGCAUCGACGCAAGCAAACACAUGUGGCCAAAACAAAUUCAUGAGAUACUGUCUAAAGUAGACAAUCUAAACUCUAACUUUGGCUUCAAGGAAAACUCCCGACCUUUUAUUUACCAGGAAGUAAUUGAUUUAGGAAAUGAGCCCAUCAAAGCCACUGAUUACUUGGACAAUGGAAGAGUAACAGAGUUCAAGUACGGAGCAAAUUUGGGGAAAGUAUUCCGCAAAGGAGAUGAGGCGAAAUUCCUACGAAAUUUUGGGGAGGAAUGGAAUAUGCUCAAUAGCCAAAAAGCACUUGUGUUUAUUGAUAAUCAUGAUAACCAACGAGGUCAUGGUGCUGGUGGAAGCAAUAUUCUUACAUUCCGAAACCCAACCCUUUAUAAGAUUGCGACUGCUUUCAUGCUGUCGUGGCCGUUCGGCGUCACAAAGGUCAUGUCUUCGUACUCCUGGGAGCAGAAAAUUGUUUAUGGACAUGACCAGAACGACUGGAUCGGGCCACCACAAACUCCAGAGUAUGAAAUAUUGAACGUUACAAUCAACGAAGAUUUAACAUGUGGUAAUGGUUGGGUUUGUGAACACCGUUGGACAGAGGUAUACAAGAUGGUAGAAUUUAGAAAUAUUGUUGGAGAUGCUCCUGUAGUCAAUUGGUGGGAUAAUGGUCUAAAUCAAAUUGCAUUUGGCAGACAAGGGAAAGGAUUCGUCAUCAUUAAUAAUGAUGAUUUCCCAGUGAUUGUGACCCUUAACACCACGCUGGCAUCAGGAACUUAUUGUGACAUUAUUUCCGGCGGGAUGCUGAAUAAAAAAUGCUUGGGGAUUUCGAUUACUGUAAAUGAAGGGGGAAAUGCCGAAUUCGCGAUUUCAAAUUUACAGGAAAGUCCAUUUAUCGUUAUUCAUAUGAAGGAUAAAAUUGCAUAGGUGUAACGUAUAACCGGAAUGGGCUUGUAAAAUAUGAUGUAGCUCCUACAAUGAUCCUUCAGAAUGGCAACAUAAAAAAAGAUGUACUUGUCGACGGAGCAAUUUUGAUCAGUACUGACGCUGCCUCAAAAAUUACGGAA
RNA transcript from Folsomia candida, 1844 nucleotides. It is a transcript of the gene named alpha-amylase 2B, with no coding region annotated. NCBI's taxonomy places the organism in Eukaryota, Metazoa, Arthropoda, Collembola, Entomobryomorpha, Isotomidae. The transcript is spliced from 12 exons. The record is from RefSeq and is a predicted model, not a curated record.